Corythoichthys intestinalis (scribbled pipefish) is the source of this 231-nucleotide long non-coding RNA. RefSeq lists it as uncharacterized. The transcript is spliced from 3 exons. NCBI's taxonomy places the organism in Eukaryota, Metazoa, Chordata, Actinopteri, Syngnathiformes, Syngnathidae. The record is from RefSeq and is a predicted model, not a curated record.
GAGGAAAUCUAGCACACCUGUCUGUAAACCUGUCCACACGCUGCACUGUCUGAGAAGCAGCGCAGCCACAUCGUAGACUGUAGUGUGGAGAGGUUAUAUUGGUUCGAUUGAAGAUAGCGCGCUCGGAAAGCAGAUGGAGUUUUCACGGUGUCAACAAAAGAACAAAAAAUGACUGAAAAUAAAGUUAAAGAACACCCGUCGAAGCCCUCUGCGUGUCGCAUCAUUCCGAGC